This 409-nucleotide long non-coding RNA is filed under the name Zostera marina. RNAcentral describes it as "long non-coding RNA (ZMAR_LNC001167)". Lineage: Eukaryota; Viridiplantae; Streptophyta; Magnoliopsida; Alismatales; Zosteraceae. The record is from RNAcentral.
AUCGAUCGGGAUUCAGAUGGUCGUCCAUCCAUCGGAGGUUUCUGCAAGCGGAGGGAAAUUUCUGUAAUUCUCCGACGAGCUAGUAGUGCCUGCAGAAAACGAAUUACCAGUACAACUCCCGGCAUGAGCAAUCGGAUCUAAUCCUAGAGUAAGAUCCAACUCGAUCUUUUCAUUAUCGGCGAAUCCAUGAAACUCGUUCUGUUUCUGGUUCAUCGAUCCGAUUGAUUUGUUGGUGUGUACAUGACGGAUAUCGUAUGCGCAGGAAUAACCGGGAGUCGUCGUCGUUGUCGGCGGCGGCGGCAUGGAAAUUUGCGCAUCGAAAUUGGAGUUGGUAAUAUCUUCACCUUUCAGCACCGCAUCGACAGCCAUCUGACAUAUCCUCCAAUUCCCUGACGAUAAAAGACCCACA